GACGAACGCUGGCGGCGUGCUUAACACAUGCAAGUCGAACGGAAAGGCCCUGCUUUUGUGGGUUGCUCGAGUGGCGAACGGGUGAGUAACACGUGAGUAACCUGCCCUUGACUUUGGGAUAACUUCAGGAAACUGGGGCUAAUACCGGAUAGGAGCUCCUGCUGCAUGGUGGGGGUUGGAAAGUUUCGGCGGUUGGGGAUGGACUCGCGGCUUAUCAGCUUGUUGGUGGGGUAGUGGCUUACCAAGGCUUUGACGGGUAGCCGGCCUGAGAGGGUGACCGGCCACAUAGGGACUGAGAUGCGACCCGGACUCAUACGGGAGGAAGCAGUGGGAAAUAUUGCACAAUGGGCGGAAGCCGGAUGCAGCAACGCCGCGUGCUGGAUGACGGCCUUCGGGUUGGAAACCGCUUUAGCCUGUGACGAAGCGUGAGUGACGGUAAUGGGUAAAGAAGCACCGGCUAACUACGUG
Molecule: ribosomal RNA, 468 nt
Filed under: uncultured bacterium
Lineage: Bacteria
Description: partial 16S ribosomal RNA
Rfam family: Bacterial small subunit ribosomal RNA
Source: RNAcentral